RNAcentral lists this ribosomal RNA (499 nucleotides) under uncultured bacterium. RNAcentral's name for it is "partial 16S ribosomal RNA". It matches the Rfam family "Bacterial small subunit ribosomal RNA", at positions 28 to 507 of the family's 1533-position model. The record is from RNAcentral.
GACGAACGCUGGCGGCGUGCCUAAUACAUGCAAGUCGAGCGAAGUUUUUCUGGUGCUUGCACUAGAAAAACUUAGCGGCGAACGGGUGAGUAACACGUAAAGAACCUGCCUCAUAGACUGGGACAACUAUUGGAAACGAUAGCUAAUACCGGAUAACAGUAUUUCUCGCAUGAGAGAUAUUUAAAAGUUGGUUAUGCUAACACUAUGAGAUGGCUUUGCGGUGCAUUAGCUAGUUGGUGGGGUAAAGGCCCACCAAGGCGACGAUGCAUAGCCGACCUGAGAGGGUGAUCGGCCACACUGGGACUGAGACACGGCCCAGACUCCUACGGGAGGCAGCAGCAGGGAAUCUUCCGCAAUGGGCGAAAGCCUGACGGAGCAACGCCGCGUGAGUGAAGAAGGAUUUCGGUUCGUAAAGCUCUGUUGUUAGGGAAGAAUGGAUAUGUAGUAACUAUACAUGUAAGAGACGGUACCUAACCAGAAAGCCACGGCUAACUACGUG